CGCAUCUGUGCAUGCAGCAUAUCAAUAAGCGGAGGAAAAGAAACUAACAAGGAUUCCCCUAGUAACGGCGAGUGAAGCGGGAAGAGCUCAAAUUUGAAAUCUUAAAGGGUUUCCCUUUACGAAUUGUAGUUUAAAGAAGUGUUUUCUGUUGAGGUUUUGGUAAAAGUUCUUUGGAAUAGGACAUCAUAGAGGGUGAGAAUCCCGUAUUUGACCUUUACUUUCAACUUUGUGAUACACUUUUCAAAGAGUCGGAUUGUUUGGGAAUGCAGUCCAAAAUGGGUGGUAAAUUUCAUCUAAAGCUAAAUAUUGGCGAGAGACCGAUAGCGAACAAGUACCGUGAGGGAAAGAUGAAAAGAACUUUGAAAAGAGAGUUAAACAGUACGUGAAAUUGUCAAAAGGGAAGCGUUUGACACCAGUGUUGUUUUUCUGAAAAUCAAUUAAAGAACUGUUUAUGCUGAAGCUGUUUAGACUUUAUCAGCUAACUGUUUAGUUUUGAGCUUUUCUUUAAUGCACUUUUCAGUUAACAAGUCAACAUCAAUUUCUUUUGCUGUAAAAAAGCUUGAGGAAGGUGGCUUGAGAUUCGUCUUAAGUGUUUAUAGCCUCUUGCCUAUGCAGUCGGAGAGAUUGAGGUCUGCAGCGUAGAUCCUUCGGGGCUAAAUGCAUUUGUGCUAAGUUAUAGCAUUUUAUAGACAACUUGUUGACUAUGAUUUGUCUUGUAGCUUACUCGCUUAUGUUAUUUUACCUACGCUUAGGAUGUUGAAUCUGUGCGAGACUAC
This 776-nucleotide ribosomal RNA is filed under the name uncultured Neocallimastigales. RNAcentral's name for it is "partial large subunit ribosomal RNA". It matches the Rfam family "Eukaryotic large subunit ribosomal RNA", at positions 26 to 644 of the family's 3401-position model. The record is from RNAcentral. Lineage: Eukaryota; Fungi; Neocallimastigomycota; Neocallimastigomycetes; Neocallimastigales.